This 376-nucleotide ribosomal RNA is filed under the name uncultured organism. Its description in RNAcentral is "partial 16S ribosomal RNA". It matches the Rfam family "Bacterial small subunit ribosomal RNA", at positions 527 to 896 of the family's 1533-position model. The record is from RNAcentral.
GUAGGGUGCAAGCGUUAUCCGGAAUCAUUGGGCGUAAAGAGCUCGUAGGCGGUUCAGCAAGUCGGCUGUGAAAUCCCGAGGCUUAACCUCGGAACUGCAGUCGAUACUGCUGUGACUAGAGUCCGGUAGAGGAGAAUGGAAUUCCCGGUGUAGCGGUGAAAUGCGCAGAUAUCGGGAGGAACACCAGUAGCGAAGGCGGUUCUCUGGGCCGGUACUGACGCUGAGGAGCGAAAGCGUGGGGUAGCAAACAGGAUUAGAUACCCUGGUAGUCCACGCCGUAAACGUUGGACACUAGGUGUGGCGUUCCGACCAACGGGUGCCGUGCCGAAGCUAACGCAUUAAGUGUCCCCGCCUGGAGAGUACGGCCGCAAGGCUA